RNAcentral lists this ribosomal RNA (872 nucleotides) under uncultured beta proteobacterium. RNAcentral's name for it is "bacterial SSU rRNA". It matches the Rfam family "Bacterial small subunit ribosomal RNA", at positions 512 to 1384 of the family's 1533-position model. The record is from RNAcentral. Lineage: Bacteria; Pseudomonadati; Pseudomonadota; Betaproteobacteria.
CAGCCGCGGUAAUACGUAGGGUGCAGGCGUUAAUCGGAAUUACUGGGCGUAAAGCGUGCGCAGGCGGUUUGUUAAGACAGGUGUGAAAUCCCCGAGCUCAACUUGGGAAUUGCGCUUGUAACUGGCAAGCUAGAGUGUGGCAGAGGGGGGUGGAAUUCCACGUGUAGCAGUGAAAUGCGUAGAUAUGUGGAGGAACACCGAUGGCGAAGGCAGCCCCCUGGGUUAACACUGACGCUCAUGCACGAAAGCGUGGGGAGCAAACAGGAUUAGAUACCCUGGUAGUCCACGCCCUAAACUAUGUCAACUAGUUGUCGGGGAAGAAAUUCCUUGGUAACGAAGCUAACGCGUGAAGUUGACCGCCUGGGGAGUACGGCCGCAAGGUUAAAACUCAAAGGAAUUGACGGGGACCCGCACAAGCGGUGGAUUAUGUGGAUUAAUUCGAUGCAACGCGAAAAACCUUACCUACCCUUGACAUGCCAGGAAGCCUGCAGAGAUGUGGGUGUGCCCGAAAGGGAACCUGGACACAGGUGCUGCAUGGCUGUCGUCAGCUCGUGUCGUGAGAUGUUGGGUUAAGUCCCGCAACGAGCGCAACCCUUGUCGUUAAUUGCCAUCAUUUAGUUGGGCACUUUAACGAGACCGCCGGUGACAAACCGGAGGAAGGUGGGGAUGACGUCAAGUCCUCAUGGCCCUUAUGGGUAGGGCUUCACACGUAAUACAAUGGUCGGUACAGAGGGCUGCCAACCCGCAAGGGGGAGCUAAUCCCAGAAAGCCGAUCGUAGUCCGGAUUGUAGUCUGCAACUCGACUGCAUGAAGCCGGAAUCGCUAGUAAUCGCGGAUCAGCAUGUCGCGGUGAAUACGUUCCCGGGUCUUGU